This 331-nucleotide ribosomal RNA is filed under the name uncultured Acinetobacter sp. RNAcentral's name for it is "bacterial SSU rRNA". It matches the Rfam family "Bacterial small subunit ribosomal RNA", at positions 568 to 898 of the family's 1533-position model. The record is from RNAcentral. Lineage: Bacteria; Pseudomonadati; Pseudomonadota; Gammaproteobacteria; Moraxellales; Moraxellaceae.
CGCGUAGGCGGUCUGUUAAGUGGGAUGUGAAAUCCCCGGGCUUAACCUGGGAAUUGCAUUUCAAACUGGCCGACUAGAGUACGGUAGAGGGAGGUAGAAUUUCCUGUGUAGCGGUGAAAUGCGUAGAUAUAGGAAGGAAUACCAGUGGCGAAGGCGGCCUCCUGGAUCGAUACUGACGCUGAGGCGCGAAAGCGUGGGGAGCAAACAGGAUUAGAUACCCUGGUAGUCCACGCCGUAAACGAUGAGAACUAGCCGUUGGACCCCUUGAGGGUUUAGUGGCGUAGCUAACGCGAUAAGUUCUCCGCCUGGGGAGUACGGCCGCAAGGCUAAA